Molecule: ribosomal RNA, 253 nt
Filed under: uncultured Bacillota bacterium
Lineage: Bacteria; Bacillati; Bacillota
Description: uncultured Firmicutes bacterium partial 16S ribosomal RNA
Rfam family: Bacterial small subunit ribosomal RNA
Source: RNAcentral
CGGGUGAGUAACACGUUGGAAUAACCUGCCGGGGAGUGGGGGAUAACAUCUCGAAAGGGGUGCUAAUACCGCAUGACACCCUAGUUUGAAAGACCGGGGUUGAAAGGAGCGAUUCGCUCUCCGAGGGGUCCGCGCCUGAUUAGCUAGUAGGUGGGUAAGAGCCCACCUAGGCGACGAUCAGUAGCCGUCCUGAGAGGGAGCACGGCCACACUGGAACUGAGACACGGUCCAGACUCCUACGGGAGGCAGCAGU